Molecule: long non-coding RNA, 361 nt
Filed under: Mus caroli (Ryukyu mouse)
Lineage: Eukaryota; Metazoa; Chordata; Mammalia; Rodentia; Muridae
Description: lncRNA (MGP_CAROLIEiJ_G0002421.1)
Source: RNAcentral
GGCUCAGGACGGACAGGUGUGGCCCCGCGGCUGCUCCCCGCACGGGUCUCGUUGGCGCCUGGGACGCGGGCGUUGCUCCCCGCUCGGGCCAGAGGACAAAAGUCUGGAAACGCUUGGCCCCCAGAUCAAAUACCCAGUCAGUGAGGGCGGCGUCCUUAGGAGUCGUGGCGGACAAGUGGAGGGGGGCUGCAAAUGUGAAGAGUCACCCCACAGCCGUGGGAUCUUAAAUGAUGGAGUCUGCACUCUCGCACAUCAUCAUGCCGGAAGUGUUGGGUCGGCCUCUUUAGGUGUUAAGCAGGGUGGCUGCCCGUGGUUUAAUGAGCAAAUAACAAUAUUUCGCAUCCCCUAGUCCCGGAUUGAU